UACGGAGGGUGCGAGCGUUGCCCGGAAUCACUGGGCGUAAAGGGCGCGUAGGCGGCAUGCCAAGCGUGUGGUGAAAGCCCGGGGCUCAACCCCGGGUCGGCCGUGCGGACUGGCGUGCUCGAGCACUGUAGGGGCGGGUGGAAUUCCGGGUGUAGCGGUGGAAUGCGUAGAGAUCCGGAAGAACACCGGUGGCGAAGGCGGCCCGCUGGGCAGGAAGGCUCGCAAGAGCCGGCUGACGCUGAGGCGCGACAGCGUGGGGAGCAAACAGG
RNAcentral lists this ribosomal RNA (269 nucleotides) under uncultured bacterium. Its description in RNAcentral is "partial 16S ribosomal RNA". It matches the Rfam family "Bacterial small subunit ribosomal RNA", at positions 524 to 776 of the family's 1533-position model. The record is from RNAcentral.